RNAcentral lists this ribosomal RNA (230 nucleotides) under uncultured bacterium. RNAcentral's name for it is "partial 16S ribosomal RNA". It matches the Rfam family "Bacterial small subunit ribosomal RNA", at positions 562 to 791 of the family's 1533-position model. The record is from RNAcentral.
AAAGGGUGCGUAGGCGGGCAAUUAAGUCAGUGGUGAAAUCUUGGGGCUCAACCCCGAAACUGCCAUUGAUACUAUUUGUCUUGAAUACUGUGGAGGUUAGCGGAAUAUGUCAUGUAGCGGUGAAAUGCUUAGAUAUGACAUAGAACACCGAUUGCGAAGGCAGCUGGCUACACAAGCAUUGACGCUGAGGCACGAAAGCGUGGGGAUCAAACAGGAUUAGAUACCCCAGU